UGGGGAAUCUUGCGCAAUGGGCGAAAGCCUGACGCAGCGACGCCGCGUGGGUGAAGAAGGCCUGCGGGUUGUAAAGCCCUUUCGGUAGGGAAGAAAAGCCUCGACCUAACACGUCGGGGUAUUGACGUAACCUACUCAAAAAGCACCGGCCAACUCUGUGCCAGCAGCCGCGGUAAUACGGAGGGGGCUAGCGUUGUUCGGAAUUACUGGGCGUAAAGCGCACGUAGGCGGCUUUGUAAGUUAGAGGUGAAAGCCCGGGGCUCAACUCCGGAAUUGCCUUUAAGACUGCAUCGCUAGAAUCGUGGAGAGGUGAGUGGAAUUCCGAGUGUAGAGGUGAAAUUCGUAGAUAUUCGGAAGAACACCAGUGGCGAAGGCGACUCACUGGACACGUAUUGACGCUGAGGUGCGAAAGCGUGGGGAGCAAA
Molecule: ribosomal RNA, 425 nt
Filed under: uncultured bacterium
Lineage: Bacteria
Description: bacterial SSU rRNA
Rfam family: Bacterial small subunit ribosomal RNA
Source: RNAcentral